Molecule: long non-coding RNA, 471 nt
Organism: Symphalangus syndactylus (siamang)
Lineage: Eukaryota; Metazoa; Chordata; Mammalia; Primates; Hylobatidae
Source: RefSeq, a predicted model, not a curated record
CAGACAAGUCUUACUGAGCCUGACCUUCGUAGAUUGUCUUUGUAUGUACAAAUUACAGUCUGUCGCCGGGACCCUUUGCAUGUAAAAACCAACACUGCCCCCGCAAAACGUCCCUAGGCUCUAGGUACAACCCCAGUAAGGACAGAACCUCCCCCCAACUCCUCUACACAAAGUGCACCUGCAACAACAUGAAUAGAAGUGGAGGCCCAAUCUUAAGUGAAACAACUCAGACAUAGAAAGACAAACACCGCAUGUUCUCACAUGGUCUCACUGUGUCACCCAGGCUGGAGUGCAGUGACGCCAUCACGGAUCAUUGCAGCCUCAACCUCCUAGGCUCAAGCAAUCCUCCCACCUCAUCCUCUGGAGUAGCUAGGACUACAGGUACAUGUCACUAUGCCUGGAUCAUUAGAAAGAAAUUUUUUUUGGUAGAAAUUAGGUCUUGGUAUGUUGCCCAGGCUGGUCAUUCAUAGG